This 437-nucleotide telomerase RNA is filed under the name Notechis scutatus (mainland tiger snake). Its description in RNAcentral is "Vertebrate telomerase RNA (ENSNSUG00000002524.1)". It matches the Rfam family "Vertebrate telomerase RNA". From Rfam's summary of the family: Telomerase is a ribonucleoprotein reverse transcriptase that synthesises telomeric DNA. The record is from Rfam by way of RNAcentral. Lineage: Eukaryota; Metazoa; Chordata; Lepidosauria; Squamata; Elapidae.
CGGCAGCGGUUGGGAGGUUUCCCUUCUUCACUAACCCUAACUCGCUGUCUCCGACGGCGGUUGGCCUCGUUCGCUGUUUUACUCGCUGACUUUCAGCGAACCGAAGCUCAGAAAAAACGUCAGCGAUUCGGGGGAAGCCUCCUCCUCCGCUAGCCGGCCACGCGUCGGUUCCCUCCUUUCUCCGCCUCGAGCGUGCUCGGCUCCCGAGCCGGCGCCGCCGCCCCCGCUCGAGGCCGCGGUCAGCUUGGUCCGGGCCGCUGCUGCCGCGAAGGGUUUAGCCCUGCCUGCCUCGGGGGAGGCGAGUCUCACCGAAAGGCGGAGGACGGCGGGGGAAAAAGUGCUCGCAAGGCCCGGGCGUGAGAGCAAAUACGGACGGCGGCCCCUGUCCCACUCGCCCUUGAGUAGUGGGGUGUGUGGCGGGCGCCGUCCGGACAUGC